GCCUUGGUAGUUUAAUGGAAAGCACGGCAGGCCGAAUAUCUGUAAGUGCGGGUACGAGUCCCGCCUAAGGUU
Dictyocaulus viviparus (bovine lungworm) is the source of this 72-nucleotide non-coding RNA. NCBI's taxonomy places the organism in Eukaryota, Metazoa, Nematoda, Chromadorea, Rhabditida, Metastrongylidae. The record is from Rfam.